CUUCUGAAAGGUUGCCGACCCCUGAUCUAAGGUGUGGAGUGGACAGCUGAAGUCCAGCUGCAGGAAUAUGAAGCCUAAAACUAAGCCCACUACAAACUUUCCCUACUCCUCAUUUCAGUUACUGUAUUUCCAGUCCUUCCCUGCCAUUGAACCCCAGUUUGCCUUGGGCACGAAUAACUUAUUUGGCAGUUGUUUUCGAAUCUCUCAUUAGUUUCGCACUCAGUACUGGGAUUUAUUUUACAGUAGUUGUGCAAAACAGGACAGCAAAAGAAACGUGAGGGAACCUGGGAAGCAAUAGGAUGAUGGGAUUUUAAUCCCCAUCCCAUAAAGAAAAAGGGAAUUAAGAGAGUAAGAAAUUUGCAACAUGGUUCAGAAGUCAGUGGGAAAUGGGCCUUCCCAAGUAUAUCUUUUCUAAGCCUUUUACUGUCAUUCCUACCCUUUAGCAAGCCAGCAUACAUCUACCCUGACACAGACAAUUGUGUUUUGAAAUUUAGACUAGAAAAAUCUAGCUGAAGGUUUCCAGUGGGCUCUACACCAGACUCAUCACCCUAUUUCUCUUUACCAGAAAUUGAGCUCUAACUAGCACACAGAUAGAUAGGUGUGGUGGGCUGUAUUCCAUCCUUUGAGAAAUGUUUAAUGAUAUUAUUCCAAGACAAGCGUUGUAACGGAACAGCACAGUGUUUCUGGAGUGCCACAUAGCCUCUGGGGUUGGGUCUAUAAGUAGUACAAGAACUCUCCACUGGUAAGCAAAUCCAGUUCUUCUGCACACCCACAUUCUGAGUGGUAAUGUCACGUAAUCACACUUUGUUUUACACAGAAUGUCUAGUUGUAACUUUGAGUUGCAUUUUUUUUCCUUUUCCAACUGAAGUCAUCCAACAGCCCAGGGUCCCAGGUUUGGACUUGUCUGAUUUCCUUCUCUCCCCACCCCACUCCCACUUUUUGCUUGCUUUCUCAAAGUGCUUGGCUUGAUUUGCCCUAAGACUAGCACAGAACAAUGUUUUUGUAAUUCUUUUGAGUUAAUAUAUGGCAAAGUUCUGGACACACUUGGUCUCCUCUCCCUUGUCUGAAUGCCAGGGCUUAUUUGUUUCAGUGACUGUGAAUAAUCCAGUGUGUGUUCUAGGUUUCCUUACCUUAACAAUUACUAUAAGUAUACAAAUUGCAAUAGGUAGGUACUGCAUGCAUUCCAGACUCUUCCUAUCGGUUUCUCCAUUAUCAUUCUAUAUCAGGAAUUCUUCAGUUUACUUGAAAUAAAAAAAAAAAAAGUAGAGAGGGGGAAAUUUUCAAGGAUUGCUAGGAUCUAAAAACCAUCUGUUGGACAAUGGCAUUCACAUUUGGCACUUCUGAUAAGAUCAAGGUAUGGUCAUGGAAAGCUAGAUUGCUUUAUGGUCUCUCUAUUUAAGAAAAUUAUGCAGAAAACAAUCCAUAUUUUGAGAUGAACCCUUCUACAUAUUUCCAGGAAUGUGCAAUCCUCUGAUUAGGGAAUACAUAGCUUAAUAUCUGCAAUGACUAGUCUAUGAUGCAACCAUCAUUAACUACGCACUGUAGAAAAGUGCACUCCUUAGGGCAAGAUCCCUAUCCUUUAGUCUACUACUGUCUUCUUUUGUCUACUCUUUUCAUAAUGGGCAGGAUUUUCAAAGGGACUAAUGAUUUUGGGUGCCCAGUUUGAGACACCUUCAAGGGGCCUGACAUCAGAGGGGGUUUGUUUGGGUGCUCUGUUUGCUACCUGAUUUUUUUUUUUUUUUUCCAGAAACAGUCACUAGUCCACUUUUUUGAAAAUCUUGGCCAAUGAUCUAAAGACUGUUAAGCUCCUUAGCACAAAGACCUUAUCUUUCACUAAAACACACUGAACACCUAAUGCUAUUGCAAGCAAUAUUAGUGCUCUCCUUUCCUUUCUCCUCCAAUCACUCCCAAGGUAGUGGUUGAUCUAGUAUACCCUAUAUCCUUCACAACCUUAGCCCGCCCUCCAUUCUAACUUUACUGGGUACAUGAACUCUAACAUUAUUCCCAGUAAGCUAAAUUUUGCUUCUACAGCACCACCCACUAGAAUAAGGUAUACAUUUUUAACAGGGAGGGUAAUUAAUCAUUGGAACAACUUAGCAAGGGCAAAUAUUGCAUGUUAUGCUAAUAGGAGUGUGUUUUUUUUAUUGGAGGGAAUACCUGUGAGACUUAUCUGGGCUGUGAUAAGAUGUGCUUCUUGAUGUAUAAUACAAACGAACACAUCCCAUUGGGUAUCUUAUGAGGUAGUAUUGCUGGGGUGAGGGGAGAAGAGUUGCUGACACUCGGGCCAUAAAAGGGGACUCCAUGCUACAUCAGCAGUGUACUUAUCAAUAGUAUGGCUCCUUCGAACAUCUUACCUUACAAAUGUGUAAUUAUCACUGUUUAUGUAUAUACUGGAGAGCUGAAAAUAUUCUCAGACUUGAACAAUAAGUGAAAUCCUAGUAUUUCUAGCAACAGGCAAGCAGAAUCUACCAGGAAGGCUGAAAAUAACUUGCUCCAAAUGAGACUGAUCUCAUGCCCUAGAAUGGCUCUACAGUGUAUGUCUCACAUAAACGCAGGUAUUUUAUAACUAUGCAGAAAACUUGCUGGAACUGUUCUGUAUGAUGUGUUCCAUCAAGAGAGCUGUAUUGCUGUUGGGAAGCAAAUCAUCACUCCCCAUUAUUGUGAGCUGUGGUAUUUGACACCUACCAAGAUAAUGAUUUCAAAAUCUUGGGGAAAUCAGGAUGCUAGUGAAAUAAUAGACUUCUGCUUUCAGGAAUGCAGUGUUUGCAGUGUAUUUGUGUCCUUGUGUAAUAAAUGGUUCUUAAAUGCA
Molecule: long non-coding RNA, 2809 nt
Organism: Dermochelys coriacea (leatherback sea turtle)
Lineage: Eukaryota; Metazoa; Chordata; Testudines; Dermochelyidae
Exons: 2
Source: RefSeq, a predicted model, not a curated record